This 484-nucleotide ribosomal RNA is filed under the name uncultured bacterium. RNAcentral's name for it is "partial 16S ribosomal RNA". It matches the Rfam family "Bacterial small subunit ribosomal RNA", at positions 28 to 523 of the family's 1533-position model. The record is from RNAcentral.
GACGAACGCUGGCGGCGUGCUUGACACAUGCAAGUCGAACGAUGAAGCCGGAGCUUGCUCUGGUGAAUUAGUGGCGAACGAGUGAGUAACACGUGAGUAACCUGCCCUUGACUCUGGGAUAACUGCGGGAAACUGUAGCUAAUACCGGAUACGACCCUCGGAGGCAUCUCCUGGGGGUGGAAAGCAUUUCGGUCAAGGAUGGACUCGCGGCCUAUCAGCUAGUUGGUGAGGUAAAGGCUCACCAAGGCGACGACGGGUAGCCGGCCUGAGAGGGUGACCGGCCACACUGGGACUGAGACACGGCCCAGACUCCUACGGGAGGCAGCAGUGGGUAAUAUUGCACAAUGGGCGCAAGCCUGAUGCAGCAACGCCGCGUGAGGGAUGACGGCCUUCGGGUUGUAAACCUCUUUUAGCAGGGAAGAAGCGAAAGUGACGGUACCUGCAGAAAAAGCACCGGCUAACUACGUGCCAGCAGCCGCGGUAA